Molecule: ribosomal RNA, 256 nt
Filed under: uncultured bacterium
Lineage: Bacteria
Description: partial 16S ribosomal RNA
Rfam family: Bacterial small subunit ribosomal RNA
Source: RNAcentral
GUCUACACUGUAAUCAUGAAUGCUGUAAUUAAUGACAUUUAAUUUAAAUGUUUAGAUUUAAGCUAACGCUAUAAGCAUUCCGCCUGAGGAGUACGAUCGCAAGGUUGGAACUCAAAGGAAUUGACGGGGCCUAACACUAGUGGUGGGUAUGUGGUUUAAUGCGAUAAUCCGCGCAAAAUCUUACCAAUCUUUGACAUAAAAUUUAUCUUAUUUGUUAUAAAUAAAUAAUUUUAUACAGGUGUUGCACGACUGUCAU